RNAcentral lists this non-coding RNA (148 nucleotides) under uncultured Nitzschia. The record is from RNAcentral. Lineage: Eukaryota; Bacillariophyta; Bacillariophyceae; Bacillariales; Bacillariaceae.
AAACAGCAAAGACACACAGAAGACGCACAAACAAAAGAGGUAGUAGAAGGAAGAGUGGAUUUAUUCCGUUCCGUUCCGUUCAGUUCCGUUCUCCUUUCUUUUUUGUUUGUUUGUUUGUUUGUUUAUCUUUUGUUCUCUUUGUUUGUUG